RNAcentral lists this ribosomal RNA (346 nucleotides) under uncultured bacterium. Its description in RNAcentral is "partial 16S ribosomal RNA". It matches the Rfam family "Bacterial small subunit ribosomal RNA", at positions 338 to 682 of the family's 1533-position model. The record is from RNAcentral.
ACUACGGGAGGCAGCAGUGAGGAAUAUUGGUCAAUGGCCGGAAGGCUGAACCAGCCAAGCCGCGUUAGGGCGGAAGGCGCAGAGCGUCGCAUACCUCUUUUGCCGAGGGACAAAAGGCCGGACUCGUCCGGUCCUGCGGGUACCCGGAGAAAAAGCAUCGGCUAACUCCGUGCCAGCAGCCGCGGUAAUACGGAGGAUGCGAGCGUUAUCCGGAUUCAGUGGGUUUAAAGGGUGCGCAGGCGGGCCUUUCACCCGGCGGUGAAAGCGCGGGGCUCAACCCCGCCGAGCCGGCGGCACUGGGUGCGUUGAGUGCGGCGGAGGCAUGCGGAAUGCGCGGGGUAGCGGU